Long non-coding RNA from Pezoporus occidentalis (night parrot), 1554 nucleotides. RefSeq lists it as uncharacterized. NCBI's taxonomy places the organism in Eukaryota, Metazoa, Chordata, Aves, Psittaciformes, Psittacidae. The transcript is spliced from 2 exons. The record is from RefSeq and is a predicted model, not a curated record.
UCCACAGUGGAAUGUAUGAGUGGCAUGGAGUCUGCCAGCAGAUUCAAAGCAGAGGUAAGUGACUGAUGGCAUAUGAGAUUGCUCUCAAGUGUCAGAGCAAUUGCAGAACUGCCAAGCACAUCACAACUUGUGUCUGCACAAUGUAGGGAAGUGUCAAGAGAGACAAUCACCAGAGACAUCAAAGUAAUUUCAAGAAAGAAACAAGCAGGAAGCAGAAGGCACUGUGAAGGCUUGUACCAAGGAACAGAAGAAGGAACCUUGCAAUGGACAUCUAAAUCACUGCUGAAUUGGAUCCCCAGUGCAGUGCCUGCAGGGCCAGCCCUGGCUGGUGCCAGCACCCAGCACAGUGGUAACCAACCUGAUGUCAGAGGGGAGCAGUACAGGCAGCAUCAGAGGAGAACUGAUCAGCACCUGACAGGAUGUGACCAUGGGGCUGCAGGCUCCUGUUGCGAACAGGGAUUAGUUUUUAACUUGUUUCUUGUUCUGUAUCAAACGCUCACUUGGCAUUAAGAAACGAUAAGAAUAUACCUGAAAUCUAGUGGCAGAGUUCAACCUUUAACAUUAUAGAAGACUGUAAAAUAUUGAACAAUAGUGCUGCCGGGAAGGCAAAACAGCUGCAAGACAGGAAGCUUCCAGGUUGUGCCUUCUGCUUCGAAUAACAGGGACUUUUCAUCAUCCUGCUGCCUCCAGAAGAUUCACAGGAGGGAAUGUGCAUUUCCCUAAAUAAGAGAAACAACCCUUAAGUGGGGAAAGAAAAAAGGACCUCUCUAAGGGCUAUUUCCAUGGUAACUUGUAAAUUCAAAGCUCAAGCUGUUUUGGCUGCAGGGAUACUCAGUAUAGGUAACAAGACUGUUUGUUAAUAACGGGAAACCAUCAUCACUGUCCUCCCAUGCAGAACAGGCUGGAUUGAUUUUGUUUAAAACUUCCCCAAAACUGGCACAGAAAAAGGAUGAACCAACAGAACAGAAGGGACUAGAACAGGGACUUACUCACAAUUUAGCCUUGUAGCUCACAACCAGCAUCCCAAUAUAUCCCUGUAGCUCUUUUUAACCUGUCCAAAUUGAAAGUGGGUUACCAAGUUCUGUAAGCACAUACAAUAUUUUAUACAUAAGUACAUUCAUCUACCCCUGCAGCAGUGAAGUGGACAUGACAGCACAGAACAGUCUGUGGCAAAAAUGAACAUGAGAAACAAAUACCCCUUGCAACACACACACACAUAUACAGACCCUGAAUAGGAACUCACAAGAGUUUAUCCUGCUAAGUGAGGCAGUGAGGACAAAUACUAAUGUUGUUAAAGGCAGUGUAUGUGCAGAGAGAGAUCAGGUGAGGGCAGCCAUCCUGAACAACCUAAGGAAUUCCUUAGCAUUUGAAUACCUGCCUUAGCAGGUGGGUUUGUACUCUCUUAACUUGGAAGACGGGAGGAAAUAAUUGCAGCCCCUUAUCUUUACUAAGAUACAUUUUAUUAUGAUGAACUGCACAAAGUGCUAAGCUCAAAGCCUGUCUGAUGCUGUUUUUCCUAUAACAACCAACAAUAAAAGUUAGAUUUUAGUCUGG